AUGCAAGUCGAGCGGAUGACGGGAGCUUGCUCCUUGAUUCAGCGGCGGACGGGUGAGUAAUACCUAGGAAUCUGCCUGAUAGUGGGGGACAACGUUUCGAAAGGAACGCUAAUACCGCAUACGUCCUACGGGAGAAAGCAGGGGACCUUCGGGCCUUGCGCUAUCAGAUGAGCCUAGGUCGGAUUAGCUAGUUGGUGAGGUAAUGGCUCACCAAGGCGACGAUCCGUAACUGGUCUGAGAGGAUGAUCAGUCACACUGGAACUGAGACACGGUCCAGACUCCUACGGGAGGCAGCAGUGGGGAAUAUUGGACAAUGGGCGAAAGCCUGAUCCAGCCAUGCCGCGUGUGUGAAGAAGGUCUUCGGAUUGUAAAGCACUUUAAGUUGGGAGGAAGGGCAGUAAGCUAAUACCUUGCUGUUUUGACGUUACCGACAGAAUAAGCACCGGCUAACUCUGUGCCAGCAGCCGCGGUAAUACAGAGGGUGCAAGCGUUAAUCGGAAUUACUGGGCGUAAAGCGCGCGUAGGUGGUUCGUUAAGUUGGAUGUGAAAUCCCCGGGCUCAACCUGGGAACUGCAUCCAAAACUGGCGAGCUAGAGUAGGGCAGAGGGUGGUGGAAUUUCCUGUGUAGCGGUGAAAUGCGUAGAUAUAGGAGGGAACACCAGUGGCCGAAGGCGACCACCUGGGCUCAUACUGACACUGAGGUGCGGAAAGCGUG
This 715-nucleotide ribosomal RNA is filed under the name Pseudomonas sp. c121(2012). Its description in RNAcentral is "bacterial SSU rRNA". It matches the Rfam family "Bacterial small subunit ribosomal RNA", at positions 55 to 763 of the family's 1533-position model. The record is from RNAcentral. Lineage: Bacteria; Pseudomonadati; Pseudomonadota; Gammaproteobacteria; Pseudomonadales; Pseudomonadaceae.